This 118-nucleotide ribosomal RNA is filed under the name Esox lucius (northern pike). Lineage: Eukaryota; Metazoa; Chordata; Actinopteri; Esociformes; Esocidae. The record is from RNAcentral.
GCUUACGGCCACACCUCCCUGAGCAAGCCCGUCUCGUCUGAUCUCGGAAGCUAAGCAGGGUCGGGCCCGGUUAGUACUUGGAUGGGAGACCGCCUGGUAAUACCAGGUGCUGUAAGCC